CCUACGGGAGGCAGCAGUGAGGAAUAUUGGUCAAUGGACGAGAGUCUGAACCAGCCAAGUAGCGUGAAGGAUGACUGCCCUAUGGGUUGUAAACUUCUUUUAUAAAGGAAUAAAACGAGGCACGUGUGCCUUUUUGCAUGUACUUUAUGAAUAAGGAUCGGCUAACUCCGUGCCAGCAGCCGCGGUAAUACGGAGGAUCCGAGCGUUAUCCGGAUUUAUUGGGUUUAAAGGGAGCGUAGAUGGGUUGUUAAGUCAGUUGUGAAAGUUUGCGGCUCAACCGUAAAAUUGCAAUUGAUACUGGCAGUCUUGAGUACAGUUGAGGUAGGCGGAAUUCGUGGUGUAGCGGUGAAAUGCUUAGAUAUCACGAAGAACCCCGAUUGCGAAGGCAGCUUACCAAGCUGUGACUGACAUUGAUGCUCGAAAGUGUGGGUAUCAAACAGGAUUAGAUACCCGGGUAGUC
Molecule: ribosomal RNA, 460 nt
Filed under: uncultured bacterium
Lineage: Bacteria
Description: partial 16S ribosomal RNA
Rfam family: Bacterial small subunit ribosomal RNA
Source: RNAcentral